This is a long non-coding RNA of Ricinus communis (castor bean), 671 nucleotides long. RefSeq lists it as uncharacterized. The record is from RefSeq and is a predicted model, not a curated record. The transcript is spliced from 2 exons. Lineage: Eukaryota; Viridiplantae; Streptophyta; Magnoliopsida; Malpighiales; Euphorbiaceae.
AAAUGAAAAAACAUAACAACAAAUAAAACAUAACAAAAAUAUUUAUUUACAAAGAAAAUAAAUAUAACACAAUAAAAUAUAACAAAAACCAAAAAAAUAAGAAAAUAAUAAGAAAAACCUUACAACAGCUCGACGGUAGCAGGGGACGCCUAGACUCAACGGCCGCAGGAGGAGAGGAGCUGGAAGAGAGUGAAUUCGUAUUAGAAGCAACUAUUAUAGAAAUAAAGGACGUCUCCUACCAGAAUAUCGAUCAUUCUGCUUUUAAGGGCGAUAAUAUCGAGACCCAUUUCAAUUUGAAGAUUGUUUCACCCAAAUUUCAUCAUCAGACACUCGUCAAGCUCCACCGCAUGGUUUAUGAUGCUUUGGGCGAUGAACUCUGCCCUGAACUCCACGCUCUCUCUAUUGUCAGCAAAACUCUCCGCAAGGAAGAAGUCGUUGAUGCCACUCCUAUAAAUUAUAGAGGUUGUAUUUUAUUGCUUUUGAUGUUUCUUCUAAUCUCAUUACUGAUUUCUUUUGAUAUCUGUUAUGGGUAAUUCUUGGCCUAUGAAAUUUUAGUUAAAUGGUUUUAGGAUUAUGUUGAUUUCCCCGUGGCACUCAUGUACUUGAAUUUAUGUGUAUUUUGUUGACUGAUGCUUUCAAAGUAAGAGUGGAAAUGUGAGUAGCUUGCUUGA